Molecule: ribosomal RNA, 723 nt
Filed under: uncultured bacterium
Lineage: Bacteria
Description: bacterial SSU rRNA
Rfam family: Bacterial small subunit ribosomal RNA
Source: RNAcentral
UUAAGACAGAUUACUUCGGUUUGAAGUCUUUUAUGACUGAGUGGCGGACGGGUGAGUAACGCGUGGGUAACCUGCCUCAUACAGGGGGAUAGCAGCUGGAAACGGCUGGUAAUACCGCAUAAGCGCACGGUAUCGCAUGAUACAGUGUGAAAAACUCCGGUGGUAUGAGAUGGACCCGCGUCUGAUUAGCUGGUUGGUGAGGUAACGGCCCACCAAGGCGACGAUCAGUAGCCGACCUGAGAGGGUGACCGGCCACAUUGGGACUGAGACACGGCCCAGACUCCUACGGGAGGCAGCAGUGGGGAAUAUUGCACAAUGGAGGAAACUCUGAUGCAGCGACGCCGCGUGAGUGAAGAAGUAGUUCGCUAUGUAAAGCUCUAUCAGCAGGGAAGAUAGUGACGGUACCUGACUAAGAAGCUCCGGCUAAAUACGUGCCAGCAGCCGCGGUAAUACGUAUGGAGCAAGCGUUAUCCGGAUUUACUGGGUGUAAAGGGAGUGUAGGUGGCCAGGCAAGUCAGAAGUGAAAGCCCGGGGCUCAACCCCGGGACUGCUUUUGAAACUGCAGGGCUAGAGUGCAGGAGGGGCAAGUGGAAUUCCUAGUGUAGCGGUGAAAUGCGUAGAUAUUAGGAGGAACACCAGUGGCGAAGGCGGCUUGCUGGACUGUAACUGACACUGAGGCUCGAAAGCGUGNGGAGCAAACAGGAUUAGAUACCCUGGUAGUCC